GACGUAGGGCGCGAGCGUUGUCCGGAUUUAUUGGGCGUAAAGAGCUCGUAGGCGGCUUGUCGCGUCGAAUGUGAAAUCUCAGGGCUCAACUCUGACAUUGCAUUCGAUACGGGCAGGCUAGAGUUCGGUAGGGGAGACUGGAAUUCCUGGUGUAGCGGUGAAAUGCUCAGAUAUCAGGAGGAACACCGAUGGCGAAGGCAGGUCUCUGGGCCGAUACUGACGCUGAGGAGCGAAAGCGUGGGGAGCGAACAGG
RNAcentral lists this ribosomal RNA (253 nucleotides) under uncultured bacterium. RNAcentral describes it as "partial 16S ribosomal RNA". It matches the Rfam family "Bacterial small subunit ribosomal RNA", at positions 524 to 776 of the family's 1533-position model. The record is from RNAcentral.